GCCUGCAGACAUCCCUUUCCUUCAAGCUGUGAUCUCCUCAGAUCUCACAAGCUAAGUACAGUUGGGCCUGAUUGUUUUUAGGAUCAGGCA
This 90-nucleotide ribosomal RNA is filed under the name Sphenodon punctatus (tuatara). Lineage: Eukaryota; Metazoa; Chordata; Lepidosauria; Sphenodontia; Sphenodontidae. The record is from RNAcentral.